CGAACGUUAGCGGCGCGCUUAACACAUGCAAGUCGAACGAGAAAGCACCUUCGGGUGUGAGUACAGUGGCGCACGGGUGAGUAACACGUGGGUAAUCUACCUUUUGGUGGGGGACAACAUCCCGAAAGGGGUGCUAAUACCGCAUAAGUCCACUUCGGUGGGGAAAGACGGCUUCGGCUGUCGCCAGAAGAUGAGCCCGCGGCCCAUCAGCUUGUUGGUAGGGUAAUGGCCUACCAAGGCUACGACGGGUAGCUGGUCUGAGAGGAUGAUCAGUCACACUGGAACUGAGACACGGUCCAGACUCCUACGGGAGGCAGCAGUGGGGAAUAUUGCGCAAUGGGCGAAAGCCUGACGCAGCGACGCCGCGUGGGUGAUGAAGGUUUUCGGAUCGUAAAGCCCUGUGGGAGAGGGAAUAACAAGCAGUGGGUUAAUACCCCAUUGCCCUGAAGGUACCUCUCCAGAAAGCACCGGCUAACUCC
Molecule: ribosomal RNA, 479 nt
Filed under: uncultured bacterium
Lineage: Bacteria
Description: bacterial SSU rRNA
Rfam family: Bacterial small subunit ribosomal RNA
Source: RNAcentral